Molecule: ribosomal RNA, 482 nt
Filed under: uncultured bacterium
Lineage: Bacteria
Description: partial 16S ribosomal RNA
Rfam family: Bacterial small subunit ribosomal RNA
Source: RNAcentral
GACGAACGCUGGCGGCGUGCCUAACACAUGCAAGUCGAACGGAACUGUUUUGACAGAUUUCUUCGGAAUGAAUUUGAUUUAGUUUAGUGGCGGACGGGUGAGUAACGCGUGAGUAACCUGCCUUCAAGAGGGGAAUAACAUUCUGAAAAGAAUGCUAAUACCGCAUGACAUAUCGGAACCACAUGGUUUUGAUAUCAAAGAUUUUAUCGCUUGAAGAUGGACUCGCGUCCGAUUAGUUAGUUGGUGAGGUAACGGCUCACCAAGACCGCGAUCGGUAGCCGGACUGAGAGAUUGAACGGCCACAUGGGGACUGAGACACGGCCCAGACUCCUACGGGAGGCAGCAGUGGGGGAUAUUGCGCAAGGGGGGCAACCCUGACGCAGCAACGCCGCGUGAAGGAUGAAGGUUUUCGGAUUGUAAACUUCUUUUAUUAAGGACGAAAAAUGACGGUACUUAAUGAAUAAGCUCCGGCUAACUACGUG